GAGACGCUUGCACUUCUUGCAGAAAUCGAAUAAGAGCAGAGCUCCCUGGAAAAAGUUCCUUAAGAAAACUGCGGAUAAAUUAAAACAAAUUUUCGCCUCAUUUUCAUCUUUCGAUACCACGAACUAUAACAAAGAUGACAAAUUUUAGUUUUGGAUUUUCGCUCCUACUUGUAGUUAUCUAUGGAUCUAUACAAAUGAGUCAUUCUUUGUGCUGUGAUAAAAUCAAAAG
Molecule: long non-coding RNA, 229 nt
Organism: Xenia sp. Carnegie-2017
Lineage: Eukaryota; Metazoa; Cnidaria; Anthozoa; Malacalcyonacea; Xeniidae
Exons: 3
Source: RefSeq, a predicted model, not a curated record